RNAcentral lists this ribosomal RNA (1346 nucleotides) under uncultured bacterium. RNAcentral describes it as "bacterial SSU rRNA". It matches the Rfam family "Bacterial small subunit ribosomal RNA", at positions 28 to 1381 of the family's 1533-position model. The record is from RNAcentral.
GACGAACGCUGGCGGCGUGCUUAACACAUGCAAGUCGAACGGAAAGGCCCUGCUUUUGUGGGGUGCUCGAGUGGCGAACGGGUGAGUAACACGUGAGUAACCUGCCCUUGACUUUGGGAUAACUUCAGGAAACUGGGGCUAAUACCGGAUAGGAGCUCCUGCUGCAUGGUGGGGGUUGGAAAGUUUCGGCGGUUGGGGAUGGACUCGCGGCUUAUCAGCUUGUUGGUGGGGUAGUGGCUUACCAAGGCUUUGACGGGUAGCCGGCCUGAGAGGGUGACCGGCCACAUUGGGACUGAGAUACGGCCCAGACUCCUACGGGAGGCAGCAGUGGGGAAUAUUGCACAAUGGGCGGAAGCCUGAUGCAGCAACGCCGCGUGCGGGAUGACGGCCUUCGGGUUGUAAACCGCUUUCGCCUGUGACGAAGCGUGAGUGACGGUAAUGGGUAAAGAAGCACCGGCUAACUACGUGCCAGCAGCCGCGGUGAUACGUAGGGUGCGAGCGUUGUCCGGAUUUAUUGGGCGUAAAGGGCUCGUAGGUGGUUGAUCGCGUCGGAAGUGUAAUCUUGGGGCUUAACCCUGAGCGUGCUUUCGAUACGGGUUGACUUGAGGAAGGUAGGGGAGAAUGGAAUUCCUGGUGGAGCGGUGGAAUGCGCAGAUAUCAGGAGGAACACCAGUGGCGAAGGCGGUUCUCUGGGCCUUUCCUGACGCUGAGGAACGAAAGCGUGGGGAGCGAACAGGCUUAGAUACCCUGGUAGUCCACGCUGUAAACGGUGGGUACUAGGUGUGGGGUCCAUUCCACGGGUUCCGUGCCGUAGCUAACGCUUUAAGUACCCCGCCUGGGGAGUACGGCCGCAAGGCUAAAACUCAAAGGAAUUGACGGGGCCCCGCACAAGCGGCGGAGCAUGCGGAUUAAUUCGAUGCAACGCGUAGAACCUUACCUGGGUUUGACAUGGAUCGGGAGCGCUCAGAGAUGGGUGUGCCUCUUUUGGGGUCGGUUCACAGGUGGUGCAUGGCUGUCGUCAGCUCGUGUCGUGAGAUGUUGGGUUAAGUCCCGCAACGAGCGCAACCCUUGUUCACUGUUGCCAGCACGUUAUGGUGGGGACUCAGUGGAGACCGCCGGGGUCAACUCGGAGGAAGGUGGGGAUGACGUCAAGUCAUCAUGCCCCUUAUGUCCAGGGCUUCACGCAUGCUACAAUGGCUGGUACAGAGAGUGGCGAGCCUGUGAGGGUGAGCGAAUCUCGGAAAGCCGGUCUCAGUUCGGAUUGGGGUCUGCAACUCGACCUCAUGAAGUCGGGGUCGCUAGUAAUCGCAGAUCAGCAACGCUGCGGUGAAUACGUUCCCGGGGCU